AGCAUUCCAGUUUCUCCAUACUGGAAUCAUGUCUAGCUUUUAUAUUUCAGACCACCACUUGGGCCGACACCUCCAGCUUGUGUUUUGCUGCUUGGAUUUGUCUGAAAUGAAAGCUAAACCUUUCCCUGGGAUGGCCAAAGGGACCUGGGAGAGCCAGUUCUCAGCACAGAGUGCUCCUGGAAGCAGCUGAUUCUCCUGGGCAGGAUGUGUUGUUGGCCAGGGGAGCAGCAUUUUGCAGAAAGCUGCUCCAGACCCUCAUUCCCAAGUGUUUUUCCAGAGACUCAAAGGACCAGCUCAGUUCAGAUGUUUCCUCUCUCCAGGGCAGCACAAGAAAAAGGAGAAGUGGAAUUGAGGUUUUCACCUGGUAAAAAAAACCAAAAAACAAAGAGGAGGGAAAGCACGUGGCUUCUCCAGUUUGAAA
This is a long non-coding RNA of Corapipo altera (White-ruffed manakin), 421 nucleotides long. RefSeq lists it as uncharacterized. Lineage: Eukaryota; Metazoa; Chordata; Aves; Passeriformes; Pipridae. The transcript is spliced from 3 exons. The record is from RefSeq and is a predicted model, not a curated record.